RNAcentral lists this ribosomal RNA (428 nucleotides) under Bacteroidota bacterium. RNAcentral describes it as "Bacteroidetes bacterium partial 16S ribosomal RNA". It matches the Rfam family "Bacterial small subunit ribosomal RNA", at positions 355 to 776 of the family's 1533-position model. Lineage: Bacteria; Pseudomonadati; Bacteroidota. The record is from RNAcentral.
UAGGGAAUCUUCGGCAAUGGGGGGAACCCUGACCGAGCAACGCCGCGUGAGUGAAGAAGGUUUUCGGAUCGUAAAGCUCUGUUGUUAAGGAAGAACGAGUGUGAGAAUGGAAAGUUCAUGCUGUGACGGUACUUAACCAGAAAGGGACGGCUAACUACGUGCCAGCAGCCGCGGUAAUACGUAGGUCCCGAGCGUUGUCCGGAUUUAUUGGGCGUAAAGCGAGCGCAGGCGGUUAAAAAAGUCUGAAGUGAAAGCAGUGGCUCAACCAUUGUAGGCUUUGGAAACUGUUUAACUUGAGUGGAGAAGGGGAGAGUGGAAUUCCAUGUGUAGCGGUGAAAUGCGUAGAUAUAUGGAGGAACACCGGUGGAGAAAGCGGCUCUCUGGUCUGUAACUGACGCUGAGGCUCGAAAGCGUGGGGAGCGAACAGG